UACGUAGGGGGCAAGCGUUGUCCGGAUUUAUUGGGUUUAAAGGGUGCGUAGGCGGCCCCGUAAGUCAGUGCUGAAAUCUCCCGGCUUAACCGGGAGGGUGGCAUUGAUACUGCAGGGCUUGAGUAAAGUUGAGGUAGGCGGAAUUGACGGUGUAGCGGUGAAAUGCUUAGAUAUCGUCAAGAACACCGAUAGUGUAGACAGCUUACUAAGCUUUAACUGACGCUGAGGCACGAAAGUGUGGGGAUCAAACAGG
RNAcentral lists this ribosomal RNA (253 nucleotides) under uncultured bacterium. Its description in RNAcentral is "partial 16S ribosomal RNA". It matches the Rfam family "Bacterial small subunit ribosomal RNA", at positions 524 to 776 of the family's 1533-position model. The record is from RNAcentral.